AGAGCGAACGCUGGCGGCAGGCUUAACACAUGCAAGUCGAGCGCCCCGCAAGGGGAGCGGCAGACGGGAGAGUAACACGUGGGAACGUACCCUUCAGUUCGGAACAACCCAGGGAAACUUGGGCUAAUACCGAAUACGUCCGUAAGGAGAAAGAUUUAUCGCUGAAGGAUCGGCCCGCGUCUGAUUAGCUUGUUGGUGAGGUAACGGCUCACCAAGGCGACGAUCAGUAGCUGGUCUGAGAGGAUGAUCAGCCUCACUGGGACUGAGACACGGCCCAGACUCCUACGGGAGGCAGCAGUGGGGAAUAUUGGACAAUGGGCGCAAGCCUGAUCCAGCCAUGCCGCGUGGGUGAUGAAGGCCCUAGGGUUGUAAAGCCCUUUCGGCGGGGAAGAUAAUGACGGUACCCGCAGAAGAAGCCCCGGCUAACUUCGCGCCAGCAGCCGC
This 444-nucleotide ribosomal RNA is filed under the name uncultured bacterium. RNAcentral's name for it is "SSU rRNA". It matches the Rfam family "Bacterial small subunit ribosomal RNA", at positions 26 to 518 of the family's 1533-position model. The record is from RNAcentral.